Molecule: ribosomal RNA, 700 nt
Filed under: uncultured bacterium
Lineage: Bacteria
Description: bacterial SSU rRNA
Rfam family: Bacterial small subunit ribosomal RNA
Source: RNAcentral
CAUGCAAGUCGAACGGCAGCACGGGAGCAAUCCUGGUGGCGAGUGGCGAACGGGUGAGUAAUACAUCGGAACGUGCCCAAUCGUGGGGGAUAACGCAGCGAAAGCUGUGCUAAUACCGCAUAAGAUCUAAGGAUGAAAGCAGGGGACCGCAAGGCCUUGCGCGAAUGGAGCGGCCGAUGGCAGAUUAGGCAGUUGGUGAGGUAAAGGCUCACCAAGCCUUCGAUCUGUAGCUGGUCUGAGAGGACGACCAGCCACACUGGGACUGAGACACGGCCCAGACUCCUACGGGAGGCAGCAGUGGGGAAUUUUGGACAAUGGGCGCAAGCCUGAUCCAGCCAUGCCGCGUGCAGGAUGAAGGCCUUCGGGUUGUAAACUGCUUUUGUACGGAACGAAAAGGUUCUUUCUAAUAAAGAGAGCUCAUGACGGUACCGUAAGAAUAAGCACCGGCUAACUACGUGCCAGCAGCCGCGGUAAUACGUAGGGUGCAAGCGUUAAUCGGAAUUACUGGGCGUAAAGCGUGCGCAGGCGGUGAUGUAAGACAGUUGUGAAAUCCCCGGGCUCAACCUGGGAACUGCAUCUGUGACUGCAUCGCUGGAGUACGGUAGAGGGGGAUGGAAUUCCGCGUGUAGCAGUGAAAUGCGUAGAUAUGCGGAGGAACACCGAUGGCGAANGCAAUCCCCUGGNCCUGUACUGACGCUCA